Zophobas morio is the source of this 374-nucleotide long non-coding RNA. RefSeq lists it as uncharacterized. The transcript is spliced from 3 exons. The record is from RefSeq and is a predicted model, not a curated record. NCBI's taxonomy places the organism in Eukaryota, Metazoa, Arthropoda, Insecta, Coleoptera, Tenebrionidae.
UUUCUUAUUUUUAGUUCGGUAUAAUUUAUUGACUUUUUAUUAUUACAAAAUUAUACCUUACUACUUUAUGAGUUACAUACGCUUUUGGUUACUCUUUACUUGGCGCCGAGAUCUUUUAUUUUCCGAGGUAGUACUUCUCUAAAGUGGAAGCAAUAUUCCGCGGUAGUGAACGUCACUUCAGUUUUUCUGUGCUCUUAUCUGUAUUAUAGACACAAUAGUUACUGCGAGCCGUAUGUUUUUUCGAUCUUUGCGUUUUUUGAGUGGGCGGUUGUAUUUUCCAACAUCACUUUUCACUGCUCCGAAAUAUGGGAUUUCCAAGGCGGAGAAUUACUAUUUUUACUACGGCCGCCACUGGAAAGUGCGAAGGAUGUUUG